UAUCAAAAGCGGAGGAAAAGAAACCAACAGGGAUUGCCCCAGUAGCGGCGAGUGAAGCGGCAAGAGCUCAGAUUUGAAAUCGUGUUUCGGCACGAGUUGUAGAGUGUAGGCGGGAGUCUCUGUGGAGCGCGGUGUCCAAGUCCCUUGGAACAGGGUGCCUGAGAGGGUGAGAGCCCCGUAGGGUGCUGCGCGAAGCUUUUGAGGCCCUGCUGACGAGUCGAGUUGUUUGGGAAUGCAGCUCCAAGCGGGUGGUAAAUUCCAUCUAAGGCUAAAUAUUGGCGAGAGACCGAUAGCGAACAAGUACUGUGAAGGAAAGAUGAAAAGCACUUUGAAAAGAGAGUGAAACAGCACGUGAAAUUGUUGAAAGGGAAGGGUAUUGGGCUCGACAUGGGGGGUGCGCACCGCUGUCUCUUGUAGGCGGCGCUCUGGGCGCCCUCUGGGCCAGCAUCGGUUCCUGCUGCGGGAGAAGGGGCUCCGGAAAGUGGCUCUUCGGAGUGUUAUAGCCGGGGCCAGAUGCCGCGUGUGGGGACCGAGGACUGCGGCUUCUGUCUCGGAUGCUGGCAUAACGGCGCAAUACCG
This 579-nucleotide ribosomal RNA is filed under the name Pichia manshurica. RNAcentral's name for it is "eukaryotic LSU rRNA". It matches the Rfam family "Eukaryotic large subunit ribosomal RNA", at positions 41 to 647 of the family's 3401-position model. The record is from RNAcentral. Lineage: Eukaryota; Fungi; Ascomycota; Pichiomycetes; Pichiales; Pichiaceae.